UACGUAGGUCCCGAGCGUUGUCCGGAUUUAUUGGGCGUAAAGCGAGCGCAGGUGGUUUAUUAAGUCUGGUGUAAAAGGCAAUGGCUCAACCAUUGUAUGCAUUGGAAACUGGUAGACUUGAGUGCAGGAGAGGAGAGUGGAAUUCCAUGUGUAGCGGUGAAAUGCGUAGAUAUAUGGAGGAACACAGGUGGCGAAAGCGGCUCUCUGGCCUGUAACUGACACUGAGGCUCGAAAGCGUGGGGAGCAAACAGG
This 252-nucleotide ribosomal RNA is filed under the name uncultured bacterium. RNAcentral's name for it is "partial 16S ribosomal RNA". It matches the Rfam family "Bacterial small subunit ribosomal RNA", at positions 524 to 776 of the family's 1533-position model. The record is from RNAcentral.